This 121-nucleotide ribosomal RNA is filed under the name Salmonella enterica subsp. enterica serovar Infantis. RNAcentral describes it as "partial 16S ribosomal RNA". It matches the Rfam family "Bacterial small subunit ribosomal RNA", at positions 1 to 116 of the family's 1533-position model. RNAcentral also lists the same sequence under 5 other names. The record is from RNAcentral. Lineage: Bacteria; Pseudomonadati; Pseudomonadota; Gammaproteobacteria; Enterobacterales; Enterobacteriaceae.
AAAUUGAAGAGUUUGAUCAUGGCUCAGAUUGAACGCUGGCGGCAGGCCUAACACAUGCAAGUCGAACGGUAGCACAGAGAGCUUGCUCUCGGGUGACGAGUGGCGGACGGGUGAGUAAUGU